UGUAGAGUUUGAUCCUGGCUCAGAUUGAACGCUGGCGGCAUGCCUUACACAUGCAAGUCGAACGGUAACAGGUUAAGCUGACGAGUGGCGAACGGGUGAGUAAUGUAUCGGAACGUGCCCAGUCGUGGGGGAUAACUGCUCGAAAGAGCAGCUAAUACCGCAUACGACCUGAGGGUGAAAGCGGGGGAUCGCAAGACCUCGCGCGAUUGGAGCGGCCGAUAUCAGAUUAGGUAGUUGGUGAGGUAAAGGCUCACCAAGCCGACGAUCUGUAGCUGGUCUGAGAGGACGACCAGCCACACUGGGACUGAGACACGGACCAGACUCCUACGGGAGGCAGCAGUGGGGAAUUUUCCGCAAUGGGCGAAAGCCUGACGGAGCAACGCCGCGUGAGGGAUGAAGGCCUCUGGGCUGUAAACCUCUUUUAUCAAGGAAGAAGAUCUGACGGUACUUGAUGAAUAAGCCACGGCUAAUUCCGUGCCAGCAGCCGCGGUAAUACGGAGGGUGCAAGCGUUGUCCGGAAUCAUUGGGUGUAAAGGGUGCGUAGGCGGACUGCUAAGUCUGGGGUGAAAUCUUGCCGCUUAACGGUAAAAUGGCCUUGGAUACUGGCAGUCUUGAGUGUAGAAGAGGCAGGUGGAAUUCGUAGUGUAGCGGUGAAAUGCAUAGAUAUUACGAAGAACAUCAGUGGCGAAGGCGGCCUGCUGGUCUACAACUGACGCUGAGGCACGAAAGCGUGGGGAGCGAACAGGAUUAGAUACCCUGGUAGUCCACGCCGUAAAC
This 777-nucleotide ribosomal RNA is filed under the name Goniomonas pacifica. RNAcentral describes it as "partial Bacterial small subunit ribosomal RNA". It matches the Rfam family "Bacterial small subunit ribosomal RNA", at positions 1 to 807 of the family's 1533-position model. Lineage: Eukaryota; Cryptophyceae; Goniomonadida; Goniomonadaceae. The record is from RNAcentral.